GACGAACGCUGGCGGCGUGCCUAAUACAUGCAAGUAGAACGCUGAAGGAGGAGCUUGCUUCUCUGGAUGAGUUGCGAACGGGUGAGUAACGCGUAGGUAACCUGCCUGGUAGCGGGGGAUAACUUUUGGAAACGAUAGCUAAUACCGCAUAAUAGCAGUUGUUGCAUGACAACUGUUUGAAAGUUGCAAUUGCACCACUACCAGAUGGACCUGCGUUGUAUUGGGUAGUUGGUGGGGUAACGGCUCACCUAGGCGACGAUACAUAGCCGAACUGAGAGGGUGGUUAGCCACACUGGGACGGAGACACGGCCCAGACUGCCUGGGGAAGGAGCCGUAGGGAAUCGUGGGGCAUGGGCGGAAGACUGAGCGAGCAAGGCCGAGGGAGGGAAGAAGGUUGUCGGGUGGGAAAGGUCGGUUGUAAGGGAAGAACGAGUGUGAGAGUGGAAAGUUGAGAGUGUGACGGUAACUUACCAGAAAGGACCGGCUAACUACGUG
Molecule: ribosomal RNA, 495 nt
Filed under: uncultured bacterium
Lineage: Bacteria
Description: partial 16S ribosomal RNA
Rfam family: Bacterial small subunit ribosomal RNA
Source: RNAcentral